Molecule: non-coding RNA, 27 nt
Filed under: Homo sapiens (human)
Lineage: Eukaryota; Metazoa; Chordata; Mammalia; Primates; Hominidae
Source: RNAcentral
UAGGCCAGCCAUAGACACAUUUGUGUC